Long non-coding RNA from Zea mays, 191 nucleotides. RefSeq lists it as uncharacterized. The transcript has 2 exons. The record is from RefSeq and is a predicted model, not a curated record. Lineage: Eukaryota; Viridiplantae; Streptophyta; Magnoliopsida; Poales; Poaceae.
AUUUUCUAUUUUGCAAGUUGCAGAUGACUUGUAAGUUGACAUGUCUUGUGCUGUGAACUUGCAGCCUUGUUGAUAACAAUAAUUUAUUUGGGCCUCUUCCACCAGAAUUAGUAGAUACACGUAGUCUUCUUGCUAUCUUGACUUCAGGCUGAUAAUAACAACUUCAGUGGAAGCUCCAUCCUGCUGAAUAC